This 2556-nucleotide long non-coding RNA is filed under the name Equus caballus (horse). RNAcentral describes it as "lncRNA (ENSECAG00000054097.1)". Lineage: Eukaryota; Metazoa; Chordata; Mammalia; Perissodactyla; Equidae. The record is from RNAcentral.
AGUGUUUGUACCUAAGGGAUCAGCGCCUUGUGUGUGCUCUUGCUUCAGGCCCUGCGGAAGUCAGAGCCCGCUGUGACCACAGCUUUCCUUCCCUUGUGGUCCCCAAAGGCCAUGCAGCGCUUGGGUCUGGCCAGUCGUCAGCUCUCGCCACUGCCACAUUGACUGGCUGGCCGGCAGCAUUCAGUCAAUGUCGGUUCAAUGCUCCUUGCAUCGUAAGUCAGUGCUCCGCUCUCUCUCUAAAUCUCAGGUCCCUCAUUCGUAGGAGACGGCUUCAGUAGCAACGGGGGAAAUGUCACAGUGCCUUUCAUCCCAUCCUUUCCUCUUUUAAAUCAGCAAGAUGAAAAAAAUGGGUUCCAGUAAAGUGCUUUGUGACUUUAUUAUUAGUCUAUUUGAAGCCCUCUCUGUUUUCUUCCUCUUCCUCGCCCCCUCUUCCCCUCCUGUGCUCUUCUGCCUCCUCUUUUUCUUCUUCCUGUUCUGUUUCCUCCUCCUCUCCUUCCUCCUUCAUUUUAGCGAGGAAAGACUUCUCUCGGUAACCAUACUAGCAUGUCUUUCACUUUCUCAACGCCCUUGUCUCUCUUCAGCAAUGCCUGUUUUGCUCAAACCUGAAGCGUCAAAAUUUUUUUGAAUCUGACUUUCUGCCAGAAUUCUUUAAGUAGAUCAACUCCUUUUAUUCUCUAACAUUUUAAAACUCAUUUGCACAGAAGAGAAUUGGAAGGUCUUAAAGUACAGUUGUCCCGUGGUUCCUCACAACCUACUAAGAGUGUUGUUCCAGUUGACAGCGUUUUAAAUCCAGUAAUGAGAGAAGUUCGUCCUUUCAUAUAAAUAUCAUAGGGAUGAAUAAAGAGUCUGGAAGUACUAUUAUUGCAAUUUCUACUGGAUAUUUAGGUAAGAAUCUUGUCUCAAUAUGUUGCCCUUUGAUAAUUUUCUAUCUACUUGGCUUGUUCAGCAAGUGGAGAGCAAGUGGGUUUCCCAUAUCAUUCUGGGACAAGCUACCCCUCAUUUGUUGCUGUCAUACUCACCCCACGUUUCCACAAAUUACUCUGUGUUAGGCAAGAUGAUUUCCAAGAUAGGUAGUCUAGACUAUAAUUAAAACUAAUAUUUUUUUCACUCUAUAAAUUUAGCAGUUUAUUUCUUGAAACUAUCCUAUUUCUCUUCAACAUGGCUCUAGGGAAAUAAGCCACAAGUGCCACAUUUUUCUCUGUGGUUUUCUCAGGCAUCGUGGCCAUCCUCAUACGCAGUAUUGUGGUUUACAACAGUUCCAGACCCAGGCUGGGUGAUGGUGGUGGGUAUCAGAAAGUCUUCAUGGCCGUAAACCCAUUUAAGUAAAUUAAUAAAAUUUAUUUGAUAAGAAGUGAAACGUCUUAAAAAUUACCAGGGCCAAACUACCAAAGUCCCAGCCUAUUCUUAUGUCUAAUUUGAUGGAACAAUCUAGAAUCUGAAAAGCACUGGGUGCUUUCUUGACAGCUUACCUCUGCCGUGAGUUGGAAGUAACCUAAGAUGGGUUCCACAAUGAGGACUUUAAAGUGUCUGUAGGGAAAUGUGGAGUUAAGUAGGUGCAGAGUUGCAACAUUCUUCCAGACUGUUUUAUUUAUAUUUUUAAGCACUUACCACAGACAUAUAGUUAGCAAUGUAUAUCUUUGUCCCUCCCAUUAGUUUGCAAAUCCCUAUUGUUCACUGUUGUGUCACAAAGCCAGGGUCCUGAGAAGGUAUUUGGGGAAUGAAAGGUCUGGGACUGCCCCAUGAUGUCCUCUUGCUCCCAGUUCUGCCCGUACGAUUGCUCAGUACUCUUAGGCUGUAACCCAUUUUUCUUUGGACAAUGAUCACAUUUUGUUGUCUUAGGAGGUGUGGCAAAGAUUCUCUCACGUGCUUAUUUAACAGACCCUAAAGGCCUGGAGACUCCCAGCUGUAUGAGGAAACUGAGGUGCUGAAAGGCUAAAUAGCUUAUUUGAGGUCUCCCAGCUACAGAGAGGUGGAGAGAGAAUAAGACAGCCCGUCUGCCUCCUCUUAGUCUUUUCACUCUCCAGGGUUGGCAUGGCUCUCUGCUCAUAAAAAGAUGUUUCAUUUACUGAAACGUGACUCCAGAAGUCUUAUGAAUGCAGCCAGCACAUAGUGGCCUGGGAUCCUUGACUGUGAUUUUUGUAACUGUGUCCUGGUUCCUGUCUGUAGAAUUUAACCCAUGCGGUUUGAACAAGGUGAUCCACCUCCCAGCUCUGGUCGACGCAGGCUGAAAAAAGGAAACUUAAAGAGUGUCUGCUAUGGUAAUUCACUGCUGCGAUCCCUCAGGGUUCUGGAAUUGUCUGCUUCCUGAAGAGUUUGCUGCUCACGGACUCCAACGUCCAGAUGCCUGAGGGGACUUUCUCGAGGCUACAGAUGUACUCUCAGCGCCUGCCCUGGAAAAGGCACAACUGCACGUGAACACAGCAUUCGUGUUAGCUGUCCAAGUGCAGUCUGGAUGUUGAGGGCCCCUCUUGCAGAGAGAGGUCCCUAAGACUGGCAUUUCCCAGUAGCAACAGACUUUUAGGUAACUUAUGACAAGACAGCGAAAAUUACAGCCAC